AUGUGUGUGGAUUACCGUCAGCUGAAUGAUGACACAAUCAAAAACAAAUAUCCACUGCCAAGGAUUGAUGACCUGUUUGAUCAGAUCAGUGGGGCCAAGGUAUUCUCCAAGAUUAAUUUACGGACUGGAUACUAUCAGCUCAAAAUUAAAAAGGAGGAUAUUCCUAAGACCGUGUUCACCACUCGAUACGGUCUUUAUGAAUAUACAGUUAUGUCUUUUGGUCUCACCAACGCCCCUGCCUUCUUCAUGCACAUGAUGAAUAAGGUAUUCAUGGACUUCCUCGAUAAGUUCGUGGUAGUCUUCAUCGAUGAUAUACUCAUUUACUCAAGAAGUGAAGAAGAACACAAAGAACACCUUCGAGCAGUGUUACAAAGACUCUGU
RNAcentral lists this ribosomal RNA (381 nucleotides) under Triticum aestivum (bread wheat). RNAcentral describes it as "partial small subunit ribosomal RNA". The record is from RNAcentral. Lineage: Eukaryota; Viridiplantae; Streptophyta; Magnoliopsida; Poales; Poaceae.